Molecule: ribosomal RNA, 253 nt
Filed under: uncultured bacterium
Lineage: Bacteria
Description: partial 16S ribosomal RNA
Rfam family: Bacterial small subunit ribosomal RNA
Source: RNAcentral
UACAGAGGUCUCAAGCGUUGUUCGGAUUCAUUGGGCGUAAAGGGUGCGUAGGCGGCGCGGUAAGUCGGGUGUGAAAUCUCGGAGCUUAACUCCGAAACUGCAUUCGAUACUGCCGUGCUUGAGGACUGGAGAGGAGACUGGAAUUUACGGUGUAGCGGUGAAAUGCGUAGAUAUCGUAAGGAAGACCAGUGGCGAAGGCGGCUCGCUGGGCCUUACCUGACGCUGAGGAGCGAAAGCGUGGGUAGCGAACAGG